Molecule: long non-coding RNA, 288 nt
Filed under: Medicago truncatula (barrel medic)
Lineage: Eukaryota; Viridiplantae; Streptophyta; Magnoliopsida; Fabales; Fabaceae
Description: long non-coding RNA (MTRU_LNC000817)
Source: RNAcentral
UUCGAAAAAUGUUGGCAUUGAAGUGUCUUACUUAGUGUAAGAAUUUACUACUCUCUUUGAAAAAACUCAAAAGAGUCGAGAGAACAUGUUUUAUAUGCUACCUAAUGAGUUUUGCAAAUUCUUACAUUGAAUUCCUUCAUAUAAGAUGAGUAGUGUUGAAAAGAAACAUGUUUCAAUACUAUUUUUUUUAACUUCAUCGUACUACUUUGGCAGUUGUUAUGUUUCCAUUGAUAGAGGAGUAUCAUAAAGUUCAAAACAACAUAUGGGUGAACUGAACGCUUUCAUCUG